UGAAAAGUGCAGACGGCUGUAGCAGACCUUGCGGAACUGACUGAACACUUGGAAGUAAUUGCCGGUCUUG
RNAcentral lists this small nucleolar RNA (70 nucleotides) under Pseudomonas fluorescens Q8r1-96. The record is from RNAcentral. Lineage: Bacteria; Pseudomonadati; Pseudomonadota; Gammaproteobacteria; Pseudomonadales; Pseudomonadaceae.